GACAGAGGUGCCGAGCGUUAGGCGGAAUCACUGGGCUUAAAGCGUGUGUAGGCGGACCGUUAAGUACCUUGUGAAAUCCCACGGCUCACCCGUGGAACGGCUGGGUAGACUGACGGUCUUGGGUUGCCUAGGGGCAGAUGGAACAGACGGUGGAGCGGUGAAAUGCGUAGAUAUGCGGAGGAACACCGAUGGCGAAGGCAAUCCCCUGGACCUGUACUGACGCUCAUGCACGAAAGCGUGGGGAGCAAACAGG
This 253-nucleotide ribosomal RNA is filed under the name uncultured prokaryote. RNAcentral's name for it is "partial 16S ribosomal RNA". It matches the Rfam family "Bacterial small subunit ribosomal RNA", at positions 524 to 776 of the family's 1533-position model. The record is from RNAcentral.